Molecule: non-coding RNA, 596 nt
Organism: Schizosaccharomyces pombe (fission yeast)
Lineage: Eukaryota; Fungi; Ascomycota; Schizosaccharomycetes; Schizosaccharomycetales; Schizosaccharomycetaceae
Source: the annotation of a GenBank genome assembly
CUAAUGUUGGCCCCUAGUAAUUUUAUAUUUAAAGAACAAACCGCUUCCCCAAACCAUAUGAGCGCGACAACGACUGUAAAAACAGAUUCUCGUUCAAUCUUGUCAGUAGACAAGGCAAGUGCUAAAGCAAUUACGAGGGAAAAAAUCAAAGGACCCCACAAGUCCCAGUCGCGUAGUACUUGAGCAUUUUUGGGAUACAAAACAUAGACGAGUUUUUCACCAAUAGCUCUAAAUUCAUUAAAUAAUGUAACACGAAUGGGUUCGUCCAGAGAAUCUCCUCCAGUGAAUCUUGUUUCAACAAUUGACUCUCCAGCAAUGUUGUCCGGCUCUAUCGCUCGAGACUCCACAUCGAGGCUGGAUCGAACAGGAUCCAUGCGAAGAAGAUUUUCCAUUUCAUCCUGUUCUAUUUCUGUGUUAUGUUUUCCUAUGUCUGUCAUUUCUAAAAUAUAAGAUGGUAAUUGAGUAUGGUUUUGGUUUGGUACUUCGCUGGUACAUUUCUCUGUUAAUUUUGUAGUAGCACACUACUAUGCUGGUCCUCAAAACAGUAAGAUACCACCACCAUGAAUCCUAAAGAUACAAUUAACUAUCAUUUCAGU